AACGAACGCUGGCGGCAUGCCUAACACAUGCAAGUCGAACGAGACCUUCGGGUCUAGUGGCGCACGGGUGCGUAACGCGUGGGAACCUGCCCUUAGGUUCGGAAUAACUCCCCGAAAGGGGUGCUAAUACCGGAUAAUGUCUUCGGACCAAAGAUUUAUCGCCUUUGGAUGGGCCCGCGUUGGAUUAGCUAGUUGGUAGGGUAAAAGCCUACCAAGGCUACGAUCCAUAGCUGGUCUGAGAGGAUGAUCAGCCACACUGGGACUGAGACACGGCCCAGACUCCUACGGGAGGCAGCAGUGGGGAAUAUUGGACAAUGGGCGAAAGCAUGAUCCAGCAAUGCCGCGUGAGUGAUGAAGGCCUUAGGGUUGUAAAGCUCGUUUACCCGGGAUGAUAAUGACAGUACCGGGAGAAUAAGCUCCGGCUAACUCCGUG
Molecule: ribosomal RNA, 433 nt
Filed under: uncultured bacterium
Lineage: Bacteria
Description: partial 16S ribosomal RNA
Rfam family: Bacterial small subunit ribosomal RNA
Source: RNAcentral